Molecule: transfer RNA, 73 nt
Filed under: Ganoderma lucidum Xiangnong No.1
Lineage: Eukaryota; Fungi; Basidiomycota; Agaricomycetes; Polyporales; Polyporaceae
Also listed under: 1 other name
Description: tRNA-Tyr (GTA) (tRNA-Tyr-GTA-1 1 to 3)
Rfam family: tRNA
About the family: Transfer RNA (tRNA) molecules are approximately 80 nucleotides in length. Their secondary structure includes four short double-helical elements and three loops (D, anti-codon, and T loops). Further hydrogen bonds mediate the characteristic L-shaped molecular structure. tRNAs have two regions of fundamental functional importance: the anti-codon, which is responsible for specific mRNA codon recognition, and the 3' end, to which the tRNAs corresponding amino acid is attached (by aminoacyl-tRNA synthetases). tRNAs cope with the degeneracy of the genetic code in two manners: having more than one tRNA (with a specific anti-codon) for a particular amino acid; and 'wobble' base-pairing, i.e. permitting non-standard base-pairing at the 3rd anti-codon position.
Source: RNAcentral
CCUUCGAUAGCUCAGUUGGAAGAGCGUGAGACUGUAAAUCUCAAGGUCGCUGGUUCGAUCCCGGCUCGAAGGA